UUUGGCUGAAGCCAAAAUUAGGCUUACCACUGUUAAUGGUAGAAUUGAAACUUUUUUCCAGCCAA
Molecule: transfer RNA, 65 nt
Filed under: Gramastacus lacus
Lineage: Eukaryota; Metazoa; Arthropoda; Malacostraca; Decapoda; Parastacidae
Description: tRNA-Asn
Source: RNAcentral